AUGCUGCCGCGAUCGCCGGCAAGCCUCCACCUCCGGUCGCUCCGGUGGCCGCGGGGCUUCAGCUCGUCCUCAGCCCCGGCCGCGGCCGCGAAGGAAGGGGCUGACGGGAAGAUCGUGGCCUCGGUGGUGUUCGAGCGCCUCCCCGUCGUCAUCCCCAAGAUCCACCCCGUCGUCUACGCCUUCCAAGAAUUCUCGUUCCGAUGGAGGCAGCAGUACAGGCGGCAGUACCCUGACGAUGUCCUAGGCAAGGCGGACGCGAGGGGCAAGGGUGAUUAUCAGAUAGACUAUGUGCCUGCUCCAAGAAUCACAGAAGCUGACAAAGCAAAUGACAGGAAGUCACUACAACGAGCUCUGGAUAAUAAGCUCUAUCUUCUCCUGUACGGCAAAACUUUUGGGGCUCCUGAUGGCAAGCCUGUUUGGCAUUUUCCAGAAAAAGUUUAUGAAAAUGAAGACUCUUUGCGUUUGUGUGCCGAGUCAGCCCUAAAAUCUGUUCUCGGCGGGCUUGACAAUACAUAUUUUGUUGGCAACGCUCCAAUGGCUCACAUGGUAACUGAACAAAAAGAGGAUUCCACUGUUUCACCAUUCAAGCAGCGGUUCUUCUUCAAGUCGCAAGUGAUUGGCACCACGCAUUUGGACAUCAGGAGGUGCGAGGACCAUGCGUGGGUGACCAAAGCUGAGUUGCUGGAAUAUUUUCCGGAGCACAAGGAUCUCUUGAACAAGAUGAUCAUUCACGUAAGAUAG
RNAcentral lists this ribosomal RNA (741 nucleotides) under Triticum aestivum (bread wheat). RNAcentral describes it as "partial small subunit ribosomal RNA". Lineage: Eukaryota; Viridiplantae; Streptophyta; Magnoliopsida; Poales; Poaceae. The record is from RNAcentral.